GGGAUAACCGCUGUAAGGAUCUAAGCCGGAAGCCUGUUUUGAGAUGAGGGUUCCUUUGAGGUUCCCUCUAGACUAGGGGGUUGGUAGGCCAGAUCUUGAAGCGUAGUAAUGCGUUAAGGUGACUGGUACUAAUUUUACCGAGUAAUAACA
RNAcentral lists this ribosomal RNA (150 nucleotides) under Corynebacterium diphtheriae. RNAcentral describes it as "partial 23S ribosomal RNA". It matches the Rfam family "Bacterial large subunit ribosomal RNA", at positions 2761 to 2925 of the family's 2925-position model. Lineage: Bacteria; Bacillati; Actinomycetota; Actinomycetes; Mycobacteriales; Corynebacteriaceae. The record is from RNAcentral.